ACUUCUGAAGGUCAACAUAUAACUUUCUCAUCCCUGACAUCAACUGUCAUCCCUGUGAGCAGAACCAACUACCAAAGGAGAGAGGAGCUUGGAGGGAACACAGAGCGAUGCAAGCCUGGAGAAAAGGCCCCGAUGGCCCCCAGAAGACCUCUUCAGACAGCAUAGAUUAGCAGCUAUUACUGAACUCCAGGAGGCAACAGGAGGGGGGUGGGAUGGAGGUGGGGACCCGCUGAAGAAGGCCUAGGUGGGAGACAGGUAACCUGGUACAGGUACCCACCCCACAACUCAUUAAGGGCCAUGGAGGGAGGAAGGCUCUCAAGUGCCACGAAAAUUCCCAAGGCAGCAGAGGACUUGUAUGGAAACGCCGGUUAUUCGUCCCUACCCACCCCCCGCCCCCCGCCC
RNAcentral lists this small RNA (402 nucleotides) under Pan troglodytes (chimpanzee). RNAcentral's name for it is "processed transcript". The record is from RNAcentral. Lineage: Eukaryota; Metazoa; Chordata; Mammalia; Primates; Hominidae.